Long non-coding RNA from Raphanus sativus (radish), 308 nucleotides. RefSeq lists it as uncharacterized. The transcript is spliced from 2 exons. Lineage: Eukaryota; Viridiplantae; Streptophyta; Magnoliopsida; Brassicales; Brassicaceae. The record is from RefSeq and is a predicted model, not a curated record.
UGCUUACUCAGUUUAACAUGUGGGUAUGUUUAUAUAGGCAUAAGAUUGGAUUAAGAAGACUUUGAUAUGACUACGUCUUUGGUGGGGCGAUUUCUUGGACUAGAAUACAAAAAAGGUAAAGGUUCCGUGGCGACCAAGAUGUGUGGAACAGAAGCCGAGGCUAUGUAGGUGCUUAUAUGCAACCAAAAGUUCUCUCUACAGUGGUGGCUGCUGUCGUUGUUUUAUGAAUUCCAUGAAUACUAUUUUUCUUUACUUAUUGUUGAACUUUUCUACUUUGAAUGAUCACUAUUAAUGGUUUUCUUUCUCAA